CCUACGGGUGGCAGCAGUGGGGGAUAUUGCACAAUGGGGGGAACCCUGAUGCAGCGACGCCGCGUGGGUGAAGAAGCGCCUCGGCGCGUAAAGCCCUGUCAGCAGGGAAGCAAAUGACGGUACCUGUAGAAGAAGCCCCGGCUAACUACGUGCCAGCAGCCGCGGUAAUUCGGAGGGGGCAAGCGUUAUCCGGAUUUACUGGGUGUAAAGGGGGCGCAGACGGCGAUGCAAGCCAGGAGUGAAAGCCGGGGGCCCAACCCCGGGACUGCUGUUGGAACUGCGUGGCUGGAGUGCAGGAGGGGCAGGCGGAAUGCCUGGUGUAGCGGUGAAAUGCGUAGAUAUCAGGAGGAACACCGGUGGCGAAGGCGGCCUGCUGGACUGCAACUGACGUUGAGGCCCGAAAGCGUGGGGAGCAAACAGGAUUAGAUACCCGAGUAGUC
RNAcentral lists this ribosomal RNA (440 nucleotides) under uncultured bacterium. RNAcentral describes it as "partial 16S ribosomal RNA". It matches the Rfam family "Bacterial small subunit ribosomal RNA", at positions 338 to 795 of the family's 1533-position model. The record is from RNAcentral.